RNAcentral lists this transfer RNA (72 nucleotides) under Arthrobacter phage Mimi. Its description in RNAcentral is "tRNA-Trp". It matches the Rfam family "tRNA". Rfam says of the family: Transfer RNA (tRNA) molecules are approximately 80 nucleotides in length. Their secondary structure includes four short double-helical elements and three loops (D, anti-codon, and T loops). Lineage: Duplodnaviria; Heunggongvirae; Uroviricota; Caudoviricetes. The record is from RNAcentral.
AGGUCAUUGGUGUAGUGGUAACAUGUCGGUCUCCAAAACCGUUGUCAGAAGUUCGAGUCUUCUAUGGCCUGC